AUGACUGCUGGUGGGGGCGUCUGGGGGCUUACCCCAGAGGUCAAACUUGGAGCUUUAAUAACAUUUUUACACUUGCAUUCUAGCUAGCGGUGGCAGGCUAUUAACUUGGCUAACACUGAGGUACACAAGAUCAGUGCUGCAUUGUGCAUUAUCUUCUUAUUUGAAGUAAGAAAUAAUGACAGCUGUUGGAAAUGUCCUUAUUGACGAUGCAUUGCCACCACAGCAUCUUAUUUGUACUAGUGAGCGUGUCUGGACCCGCGGUAGCGUUGGAUUCUCGGCAAAGAUUUUGCUUUGACAUUUUUCCGUUUUCAGCCCAAAUGUUGUCGUUCUGUUUUAGCAUUUUGCAUUUGACAGACUAGACUCCAGGGACAUUGAAUCAAUUGUGUGUGUUUAUCAUCUUAGUCUGCUGUGAUGCUGCUACAAAAAAGUGCAAAGGAUAGGAAUUUAGGUUUACUGGCACCCGCUGAGCCAAUCGUGAGGAUUUCCACGCUGCAAGAACGAUGAAAAUGACAACCCAGUCUUCCAGCUCUUUCAUUUUGUAGCGAGUGUACAACGACCAUUCACAAGCACGCAUGAUGGUGCAGUGCAGGGACAAAAGAAAUCCACAAAACGGAGAAUGUUGCCAUCACAGUGCAAGUCGACAAUGGUUCAUCAUCGAUUCUUAACACCUUGUAACUUCAGCUCGACAAGGCUGCGAGCACCAAUCAUUAAUGAGUCGGUUCUCGAGGAAAACAUUUGGAACCUGGCUGGACCCAAAGCGUUUAAGCUAAAGCUCUGGUCGAAACGUCCGAGCGCGACGUUUGCAAGAUACCUGAGCAAGGUGACAUUCAAGCGAACGAAGAGCUGCAGCUCCCUCUUAUCCGAUGACCAUCUGGCUCCGAAGUGCAGCGAUACGCGGCAUGGCUGUCAUUCCGCAGCGACAUUAAUGAGCAACCUCCGCGGGGGUCAGAAGACUUACUGUCGAGAAGCCGCAGACGGCUCAGGCUGCCGAAAGGGACUGAGUGGAAGCAAUCUUAUUAACUCGAGGCCCUUACUAAACGUCUUGGGUCUACCCGACGCGACGCAAAUGUGUAAGAAAGUUGUCGUUGUGUGACGCCAGACAGGAAAUAAAAGUUUCAGCUUACAUAGACA
This is a long non-coding RNA of Syngnathus typhle (broad-nosed pipefish), 1131 nucleotides long. RefSeq lists it as uncharacterized. The transcript has 2 exons. NCBI's taxonomy places the organism in Eukaryota, Metazoa, Chordata, Actinopteri, Syngnathiformes, Syngnathidae. The record is from RefSeq and is a predicted model, not a curated record.